Molecule: long non-coding RNA, 2758 nt
Organism: Cercocebus atys (sooty mangabey)
Lineage: Eukaryota; Metazoa; Chordata; Mammalia; Primates; Cercopithecidae
Exons: 6
Source: RefSeq, a predicted model, not a curated record
GAGCCUCCAGCCCUUAGAGAGAGAGACACACACACACACACACGUUUCACCACCUGCAACACUUAAGCCCCCAGCCCCUACACACAUACACACACACACGCGCUGGGCCACUUCCAACACUUGAGCCCCUUGCCCCUACACACACACACACACACACACACACGCACACGCUGAUGCGGGAGCAUUUAGCAGUUUCCUUGCUGAAAAAGCAGGACCUCGGUUUAGAAAAUGGAAAUUGCCCAGGAGGAAAAGAGAACUGAGAUAUAUGCAGCCCCAGGUGCCUUCUUCUAAUUCAUCUUGUAUGGCUUCACCACUGUGGCUGUCAAGAUGGCAUGCAAAAUUAUCCCUCUUUCCAGGAAUAUUUGACUGUACCUGGGGCUGUAAAUGAAAGGAAACAAGAAUCUAUCGAUUUUUGCAACUAACGGAAAUGGAAAUGAAAGCAAAAUGGAAGGACGUGAGGUCCUUAUCCUUGGAGAUCCUAUGGAGUCUCCACAGACAUUCCUUGAAGAAAUCAGGUGUGACGGAUGCUAAUGCAGAGCCUGGUGUUUAGCAAAAAUUGGAACGACCUGGAGCAGCCAGCAGAGUGACAAAUGAGGAAGAGGACAGAAUCCAGCUGAAGAAGCUCCGGAAGAUACCAUUUGAAGUCUGAGUGCUUGAACUCGCAAAGAAAGCACGGGGAGAACCAAUUCCAAGCUGGCCUUGCCACCUCUGUGCGUUUCUUCAAGCUGAGCCUUUAGCCUGGGCUGUCCUCAGGGGACAUGUGGCCAUUCAUUGCCUCCUUCAAAGCCGUCAGAGACCCUCCUCCAUAGGAUUUUCCUUUUCUCCUACAAGUCAAGACCUGGAACAUCAGCUAAUGGUAAUCCUCAGUUUAGCAUAGCUGCCCGCAAAGGUAAGCACUCUGAAGGCACUCUUAAUCUAAUCUUAACAAUGAUGUGAGUUAGGCAGUCAUCUGCUGGUAAAUGUUUAACAACUGGUUCUUGGGGGAAGGGAGGAAGAUAGUACAUGCAUAUAUUUGCAUACAUACAUUUAUUGUAACUGUGGUUGAUAUAAAGGACACAAAGCCCACUUAAAUAUUCAAUACUCCUUUUUGUAAAUUCCAUAUAGCCCCUCGAUUCUUAAAGAAUAUUUUGUUGUUUUUUGGUCAAAUAAUUAUAUCUAUAGCCAAACUGUGGUUGUGAAGGACAGGUAAGGAUAAUUCCAACAUAAAUAUUUGUUGAUAUUUUGUUUUCAUUAGUGAGUAAGGUGAAAGUGAAAAUGUGAAAUGCUGGAACUUCACUUAUUUAUUAAUGAUAUGAGUGAAUUCUUUGCUAGCUUAGAUAAUAGCGAUGAAAUGCUAAAAUAAUAUUUGCUCAAGUUGUUAUUUGCAGACACUGCACAAUUUUAUGGUUAAUAUGCAUCAUUAACAUCAUUUCUAACACAUGCUUAAGUCUAGAGAAUUAAAAUAACAAUAAAUUAAGCCCUGAUUUGCCUAUUUCCAUGGUGUAAAUAUUUCCAUCACCACUGAUUUCAAGCUGCUGACUUGAUGUCACUGAACAUGGAGGCAAGAAAAGAUGCACAGCUGCUCCCUGUUACACAAUAUUUCUACUAUACAGAUAUAAUAGAUGUAAAUAAACCAAAUAAUAUAGGUACAUGUAAAAUAAUUAGAAAGUUUUGAGUCUUGAGGAUUUAUUACCUUUGUUUUAAUGUGAUUGAUUUGAUGAUAAAUUUGUAUAAUUUAGUCCUUAAUUAUGACUGUGCUUAAUAAUUGACCCGAACAUUUUCUGAAAAUUUAAUAAUCAGCUCUGACAUUCCAGUACAAGCCAACCCCAGCAUCUCGCUGGAAUAAGAGAUUAUUAAUGCCCUUUUUACUGAUGAGGAAACAGUUCUCUAGUCCAAAUGUAAACGUGUCGAUUGAGUAAAUAAAUCUAUAUAAAUCAAAAUUAUUUCACCAGUGCUCCACCAACCUGAGAUCCUGGUCAUAUUUAUCUUCUUCAUCUCUGUAUCAUUGGGCCCAGCACUGCAACUGGCUUGGGGCAGAGCUCAAUCGAUUCUUGUCAACUUUGCCCUUCCCUCCCUAUUCAGCCGUUUAUAAAGAAGGCUGAACUACAAACUUAUUUUGGUGAGAGCAUAGGAAAGAUCUAUUCUUGAGCAGUGAAACACAACUAGCUUCCUCCACUCCAUACCGCAGAUCUGACCUAGCUCUGUGACCUCAGCCUGCCACUGCACUCUAAGGCUCAAAAUGGAAACCACGUGAUAGAAACAGAAUAAGAAAAUAAUUACAAAAGGCCUUUUGUAAACUGUAGAGCGCUGCAUUCUAGGGAUUUGUUCUUUUAAAAGAAGAGAACCCAUGGUGGAGGUGGGAAGAAAUAUUUUCUCACUUCUCUGUAGGUAUCCAUAUCUCUUACUAAAAAAUAUAUUGACUCUGGAGAAGAUGGGAGAAGCCCUCCCACUAGAAGCAACUAUAAUAGUAGACAAAAAAAUAUAUGAAAUAAUUAUCCCCAAGCACUGUUACAAGAAGCAGUGCAGGAUUCCAUUGGCUUUCCACCUGGACACACUUUUUUAUAAUGUAAACUAGGGAGAAGGAUCUAGAACAGCACAAUCCAGCUCAGUUGGGGAGACUGAGAUGACAGUUUGGGGUCAUGAUGUUUUUGUAACAUGACGUUACAAAAUUAUGUAUAAAUUAGAUAUUUAUGCUGGAUUCAAGAUAGACCAAUGUAUUUUAACAUGACAUAGUAUGAAAAGUUUAUUGAUAUGGUUUCACAUUCUGCAUUGCAACUAA